Lycium barbarum (goji berry) is the source of this 1033-nucleotide long non-coding RNA. RefSeq lists it as uncharacterized. The transcript has 2 exons. NCBI's taxonomy places the organism in Eukaryota, Viridiplantae, Streptophyta, Magnoliopsida, Solanales, Solanaceae. The record is from RefSeq and is a predicted model, not a curated record.
UACAGGGCCAGAACCGGCCCAGUUCAGUUUCUAAAGGGGAAUAACCCCCUUUUCCCUUUUAUUUUCAAUGCCAAACGACCCUUUACCCCUCUUUCCCCUAUUCCCUAUCCCAAGCCCUAGCUGCCGCGGCGCUACCCUCUCUCUCUCUUAUCUCAUCAUCUCGCCAUUUUUGGCAACGAUUUAGAGGUGUAUGGCCUUUAGCAGGCCUGGUAUGGACGAUUUGAGGCAAGCAUUAAUUGUUUGACCUCCUCUCUCCUCCAUUCUUGCUUUUCUAUGUUCAAACGGUCAAAGACUGUAAAUCUUUAAUUGUUCUUGUUUGUUUCCGAUUUUGAAUAAUGCGUUCUUAUUGGUUCUUGAAGAACUUUUGGGAUUGAGCUUUUGUUGGUCGAAAUCUGACCCUUGAUGUUCUAUUUAAUUUGAUCCUAGCCCUACAAUACUAUAUGUGAGGAGGAAAUCCCAGGUUUGGGAUUUAUCCCACAUCGAUACACCUAGGGUUUGAGGAUUUUGAGAGUUUGUAUAAAAGGGAACCUAAGUCACAUUGUUGAAAGGAGGUUGGACACUGAAAAUUACCAGAUAGUCUAUUACACUCUAAAUACCUAAGUUUUUUUUGAGCAAUUUGCUUAAAAACUUUAAGAGUUUGAGUUAGUUUUAAAAUUUUAAAGCUUUUUUUUUUUUUUUGUGGGUUUUGUGGUUUGUGCAUUUGACAUUUUGAGGAGUAAACAAGGUCUCCAAGUUCGAAUCUUGACCAAAGGAUGCACACAAAGGAGCUUGGGCCACUCGGGCCCCUCUCAUUGCACCAAAACCUCGUUGGGCCUAAGGCCCAACAUCAUUAUUCUUGAACGAGUCGUCACAAAGAAAGGAAGGCCAAUAUAUUGAAGGCCCAGUCAUGGGUAAAAAUGACACUGAUGGGUUUGGGUAGGCCUAUCAGUUGGAAUUUACUUUCUUCCCUUUUCAAUUGCCUAUAUAUCCUAUGUAUGUAUAGUAUAUGUGUAAUAAACAUGUAAAUAUUGAAUCCCCUUAUGUAUGUUUAGAA